This 478-nucleotide ribosomal RNA is filed under the name uncultured bacterium. RNAcentral describes it as "partial 16S ribosomal RNA". It matches the Rfam family "Bacterial small subunit ribosomal RNA", at positions 28 to 507 of the family's 1533-position model. The record is from RNAcentral.
GAUGAACGCUGGCGGCGUGCUUAACACAUGCAAGUCGAACGGGAAUUAUUUUAUUGCACCUUCGGUCGAUUUAAUUUAAUUCUAGUGGCGGACGGGUGAGUAACGCGUGGGUAACCUGCCUUAUACAGGGGGAUAACAGUCAGAAGUGGCUGCUAAUACCGCAUCAGCGCACAGAGCUGCAUGGCUCAGUGUGAAAAACUCCGGUGGUAUAAGAUGGACCCGCGUUGGAUUAGCUGGUUGGUGGGGUAACGGCCCACCAAGGCGACGAUCCAUAGCCGGCCUGAGAGGGUGAACGGCCACAUUGGGACUGAGACACGGCCCAGACUCCUACGGGAGGCAGCAGUGGGGAAUAUUGCACAAUGGGGGAAACCCUGAUGCAGCGACGCCGCGUGAAGGAAGAAGUAUCUCGGUAUGUAAACUUCUAUCAGCAGGGAAGAUAGUGACGGUACCUGACUAAGAAGCCCCGGCUAACUACGUG